ACUGUAAUGGGACUUGGGACUGGAG
Molecule: non-coding RNA, 25 nt
Filed under: Cricetulus griseus (Chinese hamster)
Lineage: Eukaryota; Metazoa; Chordata; Mammalia; Rodentia; Cricetidae
Source: RNAcentral